Molecule: ribosomal RNA, 379 nt
Filed under: uncultured Methanobacteriales archaeon
Lineage: Archaea; Methanobacteriati; Methanobacteriota; Methanobacteria; Methanobacteriales
Description: bacterial SSU rRNA
Rfam family: Archaeal small subunit ribosomal RNA
Source: RNAcentral
GCGCGAAACCUCCGCAAUGUGAGAAAUCGCGACGGGGGGAUCCCAAGUGCCAUUCUUAACGGGAUGGCUUUUCAUUAGUGUAAAGAGCUUUUGGAAUAAGAGCUGGGCAAGACCGGUGCCAGCCGCCGCGGUAACACCGGCAGCUCUAGUGGUAGCAGUUUUUAUUGGGCCUAAAGCGUCCGUAGCCGGUUUAAUAAGUCUCUGGUGAAAUCCUGCAGCUUAACUGUGGGAAUUGCUGGAGAUACUAUUAGACUUGAGAUCGGGAGAGGUUAGAGGUACUCCCAGGGUAGAGGUGAAAUUCUGUAAUCCUGGGAGGACCGCCUGUUGCGAAGGCGUCUGACUGGAACGAUUCUGACGGUGAGGGACGAAAGCUAGGGGC